ACAGUUACAUGGUCAUGCGUCAAGCAUACACUGUACCAAACCCAUUCCGAGUACCUUUGCCUGUUGCUUCCGUGGGGCACGACUCCGGUCGCUCUGGGGAUAUUAUAUCCCGAGGGAGUCCCUGCGGGAGGUAACCGUUCAAACCCUUGAACUCCAAUGCCUUCUGUCUGAUGUUGUUUAUAGCAAACGUUA
This 192-nucleotide unclassified non-coding RNA is filed under the name uncultured Pezizales. RNAcentral's name for it is "sequence contains ITS1". The record is from RNAcentral. Lineage: Eukaryota; Fungi; Ascomycota; Pezizomycetes; Pezizales.